This 663-nucleotide ribosomal RNA is filed under the name Triticum aestivum (bread wheat). Its description in RNAcentral is "partial small subunit ribosomal RNA". Lineage: Eukaryota; Viridiplantae; Streptophyta; Magnoliopsida; Poales; Poaceae. The record is from RNAcentral.
AUGCAUCCUCUCAGCCACACGGCCCACCAACACCAUGGCCCUCUCGUCACCAUCUCUUCCACCCCAUCCCCAUCUUCUCCGAUGCCGACCUCGGCAAGCAUGCCGGCGACACAUCUCCUGCCCCCUCCUCUGCGCAUUAGUCCCAGCGCCCAACAUCUCCACACCCCCUCCUCCUCGCCAUCUCCUCCACCCCCUGUCCCGUCUCCUGCCGCUGACCGCCGCCGGCUAUGUGUUGCUUCCUUGGCGGCGGCGUUUCCGCAUACUCCUCCUCCUCCUUCCCCACUGUCACUGAAGCGCCCCAUGUGGAGGUGCUAUGCUUGGCUAGGUCCUUCCCAAUCCUCAUCCCUCCCACCCGUGCCGCCUCCAAAAUUCAUUUUUUUUGUUACCCAGAGUUCAAUUCGUGCGUCCAGGUCGAACUCUCUAGAAGCCAGUCUUGCAGAGUUGCAGUCCAAUAUAAAUCAAAUGGGUAGGCAGAUGGGACUCAAGCUGCUUGCACUACACCUCAAGAGCCACACGCUCGUCACGCCAAUCUGGAGCUGUUCCAAGGAAAGGAGCAGUUCUAUUAACGAUGGAUAUGAUAAUAUGUAUUGGAAAAUGCUCGUCGUCCUGGUAAUUUCGGAGAUCUGGCAUCAGCACAAUCGUCUUAUCUUUCAAAUUUUGUAG